GGAUUAGAUACCCUGGUAGUCCACGCCGUAAACGAUGUGUGCUAGUUGUCGGGCCCUCAGGGUUCGGUGACGCCGCUAACGCAUUAAGCACACCGCCUGGGGAGUACGGUCGCAAGAUUAAAACUCAAAGGAAUUGACGGGGACCCGCACAAGCGGUGGAGCAUGUUCUUUAAUUCGAAGCAACGCGAAGAACCUUACCUACACUUGACAUCCUGAUCGCGUUUUCCAGAGAUGGAUUACUUCAGUUCGGCUGGAUCAGUGACAGGUGCUGCAUGGCUGUCGUCAGCUCGUGCCG
Molecule: ribosomal RNA, 295 nt
Filed under: uncultured bacterium
Lineage: Bacteria
Description: partial 16S ribosomal RNA
Rfam family: Bacterial small subunit ribosomal RNA
Source: RNAcentral